CCUGUGGCGAGGCUUUCCGAGCCCUUCUAUUUCACAUUAGCAGCACCGGUUAGCGCGGGAGGAGAGGCAGAACAGGCAGAACAGGCCACAGGCACCCAUCCCUGCAGGAACUGCCGAGGGGAGGGAUGCAAGGCUGAGCAUACACGCCUGGCUGUACAAGCUGCCUGCGGCACCCGGGGCAAGAGAGAUCGUGAGGACUUACAAACUAGGUUGUGCAGGUAGACGUGUGGGGUAGCCAGGCACCAGCACAGCCAAAAAGAAUCAGUACAAUCGCCUCCAUGCUGGAAGUCCCCGGCUGGUCCCUCUGGGCCCUUCUGAUUGCAGUGGAAGUGAGAAGCCAAGGAAUUGGACUAGUUGGCCUAACUUCCUUUUUUCCUCCCUAAGUUUGCCCACAAUUUAGUCACAGUGUAUAAACAUUGAUGAGCAAGAUGAGAGAAGACUAAUUAAUUCCAACUCUAAACUUAUUCUCAAUCAAAAGAAAUCAGUGCAGAAAAGGCCGGUGAGAUUUUAUGUGCAAGAAUCAGCAGUGAAAUAAGAUCUGUACAUAUGUCAGGAGAUUGAAGUCAUCCCUUCCUAGAGCUCAGACACACCAGUGCCUAUUUUAAAACAAGUUAAAUAAAAUAGAAAACACAACUGAGAUUCUUGGAUAUUCUCUUGUGUCUUUGAUAAAAGUGUGUAGCUGGUGUAGUACUUCCCAGAUUUAAGGAGGAGGUCUAUAGUUGUAAUUAUUCUGAUUUGUCUUCAUUCUAGAAACUCUACCCUGGGAAGUCUGUAGGUGGAGCACAUGAAAGGGCUCAAGUAUUCAAGAGAAAUUUAAUCUGGCACUAAACCAUGGACUAUGUGGUUUUAAUUACUUAAAUACAUUAAUAAUUUUAUGGCUGUAUGAUUUUAAAUGGUUAUUCUUUUAUAGGUGCCUUCGAGCAUUAUUUUCUGACCCAGCUUCUCAUUAACAACAUCUUUUAAAACGAAGGAUUCUAAUAUCACAGAUCUCACCGGGAUGACACCAUGUGUUCACAUCCAUAUUCUUCUACCCAUUUACCUUCAUGAAAGCACGUGUGCUGUUUGUUACACAGUAAACUAACAACAUCUCCACAGUUAUUCUGUGCUCUGAAGCAGUUUUCUUUGUCUAAACCAGUCAGUGUUGGAGUUCCAGGAGUUGCAGCUACACAUAUAUAAGCACUGCAGCACAAAUCAGGAAUCUAGGGGGAAAAAAAAUACUGUAUCAACCCCAGUCCCUUCAAAGCUUCAGUUUGUCUUCAUGCUCACAUGGAGAUCAAGUUUUAAAAGCAGGGAUGAACUGGGUGAAUAUACGAGCGUGGCAGCAGAGUAUCGGUUCACCUGAGUUCCACCAUUCUUGUCAGUGGUGCGGUUUGUGCUAUCUGCUGCUCUGGCUGCAUCACUGUUUGAAGCCCAUGUUCUCUCUUUUCAAUAACUAACAUCACAUCUAUGGAACCGCAACUGUAAAGUGAUCUUGGCAGCAGUCCCGAGAGUCUCUCGUAAUCUCCACGCUAUGCAGAGGUGUUAUCUAAACAGAAAUGACUCUUAACAAGGAAUCAAUGGAGUCAGGUUUUUUGUUGUAUUUAUUUUGUUUUCCCUUAUGUGAUAGACAUGAGGUCAUCGUUUCUGCAUACUAGAGUCAAUUUUUACUUUAUUUUUACCAGAAUAAAAUAACUUUAUGG
This is a long non-coding RNA of Gallus gallus (chicken), 1679 nucleotides long. RefSeq lists it as uncharacterized. Lineage: Eukaryota; Metazoa; Chordata; Aves; Galliformes; Phasianidae. The record is from RefSeq and is a predicted model, not a curated record. The transcript is spliced from 4 exons.